Limanda limanda (common dab) is the source of this 511-nucleotide long non-coding RNA. RefSeq lists it as uncharacterized. Lineage: Eukaryota; Metazoa; Chordata; Actinopteri; Pleuronectiformes; Pleuronectidae. The record is from RefSeq and is a predicted model, not a curated record. The transcript is spliced from 3 exons.
GCAGCGGCGCCUGGUGGAUGGACUCGUCCUGCAGCGGCGAGGUCAACGCCAUGUCCACCAGCGCCCGGAUCUCCUUCAGCACCACGUCCCAGCGGCUCGGGUUGUUCAGGACCUUCCGGUACUUGUAGAUCUUUUUCUGCAGGAGACACAGAGCAGCAGGUUCUCUGACUGACGGGGGCUCGUGGACAUGAAGCUUUUUCCUUCUCGGCACAAACUGAACCUGCCGGAGGCUCUGCAGAGAUGUGGCAGCAGGAAGAAAGUGUCUCAGCGUCGGUGUGAAGGAAGCACAGCUCGGCCUGGAUGUGGCGUCACCGCACGCGUGUGGUUACACAGCUCGCACAAAAGGAAAGGAGCUGGUUCACAUGCUCACGGGCUGUCGCAGGAACUGUUGUGUGAUUGUCCACGUCCGGGUUAGACUCAGGUCUCAUCCACACAACUGCAUUUUAGUUUGAAAAUACACAAACAGAGAUCGUGUGUGUGUCCAUCUCCUGUGUGUGUUCAUUACGUGUGU